ACUCUGGAAAAAACAUUUUAAAAAAUUGUCGCUUGGGCAAUUAAGGUACAAUAAAAGGACUCCUCUGAUCUGACUGGUGUACAGUUAACAUUUCGCAUUCCAGCAGGACAAUUUACCAGAAACUUGCACAGACAAGACAGAGACCGUGAAACAUGAAGGCUGUUAUUUUUGCUGUUUUUGUGCUGCUGCUCAUCAGCCAAAAUGAAGCCUUGAGGUGUCACUGUGGUGGUAAAAGACGAUGUCCAAGUUCUAUAGAGACCUGCAUCACCUCUGACAGUGUCUGCAUCAGUGCCAACUUUUACGGCGUACCACAGCCCUUUUACUUCAGGGGUUGCUACAGGGAAAGCGACUGCAGGAAGGUGAACUAUCCCGGCCUGUCAUCUGCCAGCUGCUGCAGCACCGACCUCUGCAACUGAUUCAAACUGAGAACGAUUUAAACUGAAAAUACACUUCGAUUGAUUGUGUGUUUGUGCAAUAUCACAAUAAAACUCAGUUCUACUAUCA
This is a non-coding RNA of Poecilia reticulata (guppy), 504 nucleotides long. The record is from RefSeq and is a predicted model, not a curated record. Lineage: Eukaryota; Metazoa; Chordata; Actinopteri; Cyprinodontiformes; Poeciliidae.